Molecule: non-coding RNA, 4200 nt
Organism: Ictidomys tridecemlineatus (thirteen-lined ground squirrel)
Lineage: Eukaryota; Metazoa; Chordata; Mammalia; Rodentia; Sciuridae
Source: RefSeq, a predicted model, not a curated record
UCCCACAACGCCUGCCUGUCCCCACUUCUGACCCCACAGGCCCCUUGCUCCCCGCACUCGGAACCCGCCCUCCUCCCUCUGGAACCCCAGAACUCCCUACCCUAACCCUCCACCUGCGCACCCCCCCUCCCGCCGGGAAGAGCUGCUCCCCUCCCCUUGGAACUCCUUAAAUGUCUCCCUUCUCUGGUCCCAGGCGUGUCCCUCCAGCCUAGUUCUGUCUCCCCACCCCAGACCUGUCUCCCCCAACUCCAGACCCCCUCACACUCACACCUGUCCCCCCACCCCUGACCUAUCCUCCCACCCAGAUCCUCGCCCCCAGACCUACCCUCUCCCAGACCUGUGCCCCCACCCGGGCCUCCUCAUCCCCAGGCCUGUUCACUGAGGUCCACCUACCCUUAGACCUGUCCCUCACCUGGAUCUUCCCACCCAGCCCUCCUGCUGACCUUGCUCCCUGGUGCCCCUCUCCCAGCAGGUGCCGACAGCCUGAAGGAGGAGCUGGAGGCCAUCAUGGAGCCAGGCCAGAAGCUGUCCUCUGCCUUGUCGGAUGGAGACCGCCGAGAAGAAAAUAGUCUGCACCCGCCUUUGCUUCCCAGAGUCGGGCAGCGCUCAGACGGGCUGUCCCCGCUGUCCUCAGCCUUAAGUGGGCGCGAGGCCAAGGUCACAGAAUCAAAGCAAGGAGUUUCCCAAGCCUCGGCAUCUUCCCCCAAACUGGACAGAUACAAAAUAGCAAGGCAGUUGACAGAAAAAGCCAUCAGGGAAAAGAAGAUUUUCUCCAUCUACGGACACUACCCGGUGAUCCGGGCCGCUCUGCGGAAGAAGGGCUGGGUGGAGAAGAAGUUCCACUUCCUUCCCAAGGCCCUUCCCAGUGUGGAGGUCGGAGGGGAAGGGGCCGCUGAUAACAAAGGCACUGACAUCAAAGAAAACCAAGCAAUAGCCCUGGAGAAGAUGGAGGACAUCCACAGUGUGAUGUCUAGGUUGGUAAAGAACGAGACGCCGUACCUUCUCUGGACCAUCAAGAGGGACGUCGUGGACUACCACAGCCUGACCUAUGACCAGAUGCUGAACCACUACGCCAAGACCGCCUCCUUCACCACCAAGAUUGGGCUGUGUGUGAACAUGCGAAGCCUGCCAUGGUACGUCCAGGCGAACCCCGACUCCUUCUUCCCGCGCUGCUACAGCCUCUGCACUGAGAGCGAAAAGCAGGAGUUCCUGGAGGACUUCCGGCGCACAGUGGCUUCUAGCAUCCUCAAGUGGGUGGUCAGCCACCAGAACUACAACAGAAACAGGUCCAGGAGGCGGGAAGAGGCCAGGCAAAGCGACACUGGCCCCCGGAAAGAUCCUGAGGAUGCAGAUGAGAAGUUCAGGAGCCUCUCGGGGCAGCUUGUGGACACAGCCUGCAAGGUGUGCCAGGCCUACCUGGGGCAGCUGGAGCACGAGGACAUCGACGUGUCCGAGAGCAGCAAGGAGGAGCUCUCCGAGGAUGAGUGGAAUGACCUGACCCAGCAGUACUACUCCCUUGUCCAUGGCGAUGCUUUCAUCUCCAGUUCAAGGAAUUACUUUUCGCAGUGCCAGGCUCUGCUGAAUAAGAUCACUUCUGUGAACCCCCAGACAGAGAUCGACGGGCUCCGGAACAUCUGGAUCAUCAAACCUGCAGCCAAGUCCCGGGGCCGAGACAUAGUGUGCAUGGACCGGGUGGAGGACAUCCUGGAGCUGGCGGCUGAGGAACUGCCCACCAAGGACAACAAGUGGGUGGUGCAGAAGUACAUCGAGACGCCCAUGCUCAUCUAUGACACCAAGUUCGACAUCAGGCAGUGGUUCCUCGUCACAGACUGGAACCCCCUGACCAUCUGGUUCUACAAGGAGAGCUACCUGCGGUUUUCCACACAGCGCUUCUCCCUGGACAAUCUGGACAGUGCCAUCCACCUGUGUAACCACUCCAUCCAGAAGCGGCUCAGGAAUGACCAGGGGCGCAGCCCACUGCUGCCUGGCCACAACAUGUGGUCCAGCUCCAGGUUCCAGGAGUACCUGCAGAAGCGGGGCCGUGGGGCCAUGUGGGGCAGCGUCAUCUACCCCUCCAUGAAGAGGGCCAUCACCAACGCCAUGAAGGUGGCCCAGGACCACGUGGAGGCCCGCAAGAACAGCUUCGAACUCUACGGCGCGGACUUCAUCCUCGGGCGGGACUUCAAGCCCUGGCUGAUCGAGAUCAAUUCUAGUCCCACCAUGCACCCAUCCACCCCUGUCACAGCCCAGCUCUGUGCCCAGGUACAGGAGGACACCAUCAAGGUGGUGGUGGACCGCAAGGUCGAUCGCAACUGUGACAUCGGCAACUUUGAGCUUCUGUGGAGACAGCCCGUGGUGGAGCUGCCGCCCUUCAACGGAUCCGACCUCUGCGUGGAGGGCAUCGGCAUGAAGAAGGCCAAGAGGCAAAUGCCGCCCAUUACCAACUUCAAUUUCCCGGCUUCCCUCUGUGACGCUCAGCUACUCAAAGUGCGGUGCCCCUCGGCCGUGCCGGGCCUGGUGGGCGGCGCGCCGCGCGGGGCUGUGCAGGACUGGAAGCGGGAAGACGCGAAGGCGCUCUGCUCCCCGCUGCCCGCGCCCCCGCAGCGGCCGGCAGAGCGAAGCUGCAGAGCGAGGCCGGCGCACGCCGAGGCGGGCGGGAAGCUCGCGCUGCCCGCCCGCGCCUGCCCGCGCGCGGACAGUAAGGCCCCCAAGAGCACCUUCUCCAAAGCGCAGCCCGCCGAACUCCUGGAUGCGAGCUCGCUGAGCGUGCGCCCCCUGGCGCCCGCGCCGCAGAGCGCGAAGUCGGUGCAGACCUCGCUGUCCCCAACGCCUCCCGCCACAGCAGGAAUGCAAGCUGGCUCAACGUGCAGCAGAACGGCGGGCCAAAACGCAAGAGCACCCCAGGGAGGCAGAACGGCACUGGAGAGGAUCCAAACGCCUUCCACGAUAAACCUCCGCGAGCCGGGAACAGAAGGGAAUUUAACCCGGGAAGGACCGGAUGUGAAAAGCCCACACGUGCUCAGGCGACCAGGGACAAGACCCGACCCCGCUUUGAAACUCUGGCCCAGCACUGAAGUCCCCGCCCCGAGGACAAGGACCAGCAGCGCGGCACCGGGCGUCCGGAGCGCAGGGUUCCCAGGACAAGAGUGGUUGAUGUCCCCUAGGCCCUGGCCCAUGGAAGGCUGCCCUCAGGAGGAGAGAUGGCCCCAGACGUCCACACUCAGCCAUGUGCUCAGAGAGUCUUCGAGGAGCUGGAUGGUGCAGGUCCAGUGUGACCAUGACCUGGGUGACCCGGGGCGGCUCCCACUGGGACAGUGUGGACAGCUCUAUGCCCCAGGGUCACCUGACCCCCACCUCUGGAGAAGUGGAGCUAGCACCUGCUCCUGGGGAGGUCACCGAGGUGUACAGGGGCCUGGUGUCCCUUCCCAGUUCACCCAGGUCUUCCCAGAGAGCCCAGCAGGGUCUGUGAGUGGCACCUGCUGCUGCGCCUGGCAGAGAAGCCCUUCACUGAACCACUGGUCCGCCUGCUCAGAGACGAAGAGGCUGCUUUCUGGGCCAUGUGGUCGGCGUUGGCUGCCGCUUUCCGCCUUGGCUGUACGACAGGAAGUCAGUCGGGUGGUGUGCCCAUCCCACAUUUUUCCUCUUUCUCAAAUUUGUUUUGGUUCUGUUUCUGUUGCCUUUCUGUGUAGAAUUCCAAAUCCGCUUCUCCUCAAGCACGGAAAGAUCCAGCUGGAAUCUCGACUGGUUCUGGGGUUAGAUCCGUGGAGCACUUUGGGAAGGGCUGACCGAGUCUUCAGGUCCUGAACACAGAGCUAUGAGCUGUGAGCUGCGCUGGCUGUAGAUUUCUGUUCAGGCCAGGUCAAGGUCGAGGCAACUUGCUGGGACAAAAAAUCCGCACUGACAGUUCAUUCUGAGUGCUUUCUCCCUGUCCUCCUUCCCUCCUGCAGUGUGUCCCACCCCGGGGACCACUGCUCUUCGGUCCACACUGAUAUGAAGCAAUUCAGACCCUCAGGAUGACACUGAGUGUCUCCCAUUGCAACCCUGGACGGAGAACAGCAUGGGACACCCAGAGUGUGGCCUCUAAAUCACCUCUUCAACAACCUCCGACCCCCGGUGGGCAGGAUCACAGCUCUGAGACAGGAGCCCCUGUGCUCUCCUUUGCUAGAGGAGCAAUAAAACUUCUUUUUCCUUUUUCUCAAA